This is a long non-coding RNA of Gasterosteus aculeatus aculeatus (three-spined stickleback), 402 nucleotides long. The record is from Ensembl. NCBI's taxonomy places the organism in Eukaryota, Metazoa, Chordata, Actinopteri, Perciformes, Gasterosteidae.
GGCCCAUGUACACAUGCACUCAUGCACUGAGGUCAGUUGUCUGCGCCAAAGGGGAACCAACUGAUUAAAAGACUGCUUGCAACAUGGCUGUUUUCGACCAGCAGGCUCUUCCAGUACACGCAACAGGCUCCUGGCUUAUAAUCCCCAGGAGUGGCCAAGCAACCUCAGCCUCCUGUGAAAAUUGCCAGCUGACUUGGAUUUGAGUGAUAGGGCGAUUCAGAGACUCAACAAAACAGGCUCCUGCUUCAGGGCUCGCAAAAAGUGGUCAAGCAGCUUUAGCCUCCUGUGGAAAUUGCCUUGUGCAUCUGCCAACUUAGCGAUUUGAGUAACAGGACGAUAGAAUCCAACUCUCUACAGGCUUUGCCAGAUCUCGUCUACCAGCUGAGAGGAUUUGGCAGAAGG